AGCGAACGCUGGCGGCAGGCUUAACACAUGCAAGUCGAGCGGGCAUAGCAAUAUGUCAGCGGCAGACGGGUGAGUAACGCGUGGGAACGUACCUUUUAGUUCGGAACAACUGAGGGAAACUUCAGCUAAUACCGGAUAAGCCCUUACGGGGAAAGAUUUAUCGCCGAAAGAUCGGCCCGCGUCUGAUUAGCUAGUUGGUGAGGUAAUGGCUCACCAAGGCGACGAUCAGUAGCUGGUCUGAGAGGAUGAUCAGCCACAUUGGGACUGAGACACGGCCCAAACUCCUACGGGAGGCAGCAGUGGGGAAUAUUGGACAAUGGGCGCAAGCCUGAUCCAGCCAUGCCGCGUGAGUGAUGAAGGCCCUAGGGUUGUAAAGCUCUUUUGUGCGGGAAGAUAAUGACGGUACCGCAAGAAUAAGCCCCGGCUAACUUCGUG
Molecule: ribosomal RNA, 435 nt
Filed under: uncultured bacterium
Lineage: Bacteria
Description: partial 16S ribosomal RNA
Rfam family: Bacterial small subunit ribosomal RNA
Source: RNAcentral